GACGAACGCUGGCGGCGUGCUUAACACAUGCAAGUCGAACGGAAAGGCCUCUUUCGGGGGGUACUCGAGUGGCGAACGGGUGAGUAACACGUGAGUAACCUGCCCUUGACUUUGGGAUAACUUCAGGAAACUGGGGCUAAUACCGGAUAGGAGCUCCUGCUGCAUGGUGGGGUUUGGAAAGUUUCGGCGGUUGGGGAUGGACUCGCGGCUUAUCAGCUUGUUGGUGGGGUAGUGGCUUACCAAGGCUUUGACGGGUAGCCGGCCCGAGAGAGUGACCGGCCACGUUGGGACUUAGAUACGGCCCAGACUCCGACGGGAGGCAGCUGUGGGGAAGAUUGCCCAAUGGGUGGAAGCCUGAUGCAGCAACGCCGUGUGCGGGAUGACGGCCUUCGGGUCGUAAACCGCUUUCGCUCAUGACGAAGCUUUGUGUGACGGUAGUGGGUAAAGAAGCACCGGCUAACUACGUG
Molecule: ribosomal RNA, 467 nt
Filed under: uncultured bacterium
Lineage: Bacteria
Description: partial 16S ribosomal RNA
Rfam family: Bacterial small subunit ribosomal RNA
Source: RNAcentral